RNAcentral lists this transfer-messenger RNA (355 nucleotides) under human gut metagenome. It matches the Rfam family "transfer-messenger RNA". From Rfam's summary of the family: Bacterial tmRNA, also known as 10Sa RNA or SsrA, is named for its dual tRNA and mRNA-like properties. Its role is to liberate the mRNA from a stalled ribosome. To accomplish this part of the tmRNA is used as a reading frame that ends in a translation stop signal. The record is from RNAcentral.
GGGGGCGUAAAGGUUUCGACAGGGUUGUUCGGUGAUACAGCAAGCGAGCCGCGGUUCCGGACCCGCGUAAAAAAACCGGGCGUAAAUAUAAACGCUAAUAAUAGAACAAAUUUAGUAGCUGCUUAAGGCAGCUUCCGCCGGCUCCCGCUUCCUGCGGGCGGGAUAUCCGGCGCCGUAAUCGCAGGGAACGUCAGCUGCUUAAGCUUUGCGGCAGCGAUGUAGAAUGAAGCUACCCCUCAGGCAAGCCUGCCUUUGUGCGAGCCUUUCAGGGGGAAUCUUUCAUCAAAGGCUACGCUCGUAGAAAACGGUAUUUCCGCUUCUUUGGACAGGGGUUCGACUCCCCUCGCCUCCACCA